CCUACGGGUGGCAGCAGUGAGGAAUAUUGGUCAAUGGCCGGAAGGCUGAACCAGCCAUGCCGCGUGAAGGUCAGUGCCCUAUGGGCGUUAAACUUCUUUUGUGCGGGAGCAAUAAUUGUCACGGUGUGCCAGACGGGAGUACCGUACGAAUAAGCAUAGGCUAAUUCCGUGCCAGCGGCCGCGGUAAUACGGGGGAUGCAAGCGUUAUACGGAUUUAUUGGGGUUAAAGGGUGCGUAGGCUGUGAGGUAAGUCAGCGGUGCAAUGCCCCCGCUCAACGGGGUGAAGUGCCAUUGAUACUGGCUUGCUGGAAUGCGGAUGCCGUGAGAGGAAUGUGUGGUGUAGCGGUGAAAUGCAUCGCUAUCACACAGAACACCGAUUGUGAAGGCAUCUCACGAAUCUGCGAUUGACGCUGAUGCACGAAAGUGUGGGUAUCAAACAGGAUUAGAGAUAGUC
This 454-nucleotide ribosomal RNA is filed under the name uncultured bacterium. RNAcentral describes it as "partial 16S ribosomal RNA". It matches the Rfam family "Bacterial small subunit ribosomal RNA", at positions 338 to 787 of the family's 1533-position model. The record is from RNAcentral.